Long non-coding RNA from Armigeres subalbatus, 720 nucleotides. RefSeq lists it as uncharacterized. The record is from RefSeq and is a predicted model, not a curated record. The transcript is spliced from 3 exons. NCBI's taxonomy places the organism in Eukaryota, Metazoa, Arthropoda, Insecta, Diptera, Culicidae.
CAAAGAAACAUUUUCGAUACGGAUUAUUAUUUAUGCACGAUGCAAAACCGAAACGACGACGCAAGGUGAGGGAGAAAAACAAACAGACAAACUGUCAAAACACUCAAAACGUCGAGAGGGAAGAAGACAUGGUGCCCGAUUUUCUGAUGGCUUUGUACCGGACAUUUCGGUCUAUGUAUUCGUCAAUGGUGUAACGACAUUCGCACCAUCGCUCGAUUUUCAACCGAUCUUCAGGCUCUCCAGGCGAAACAAACUACAGUAGAAUAAUCUCCGGCAAAAUCAAUUCCCAUUAUAAAAGAUUAGUGGAUCGCACCAAUGACGGGAAGAUGACUAAGUUGGAGGUCAUUCGGCUAGACCAAAGUUUUCGACCGGAUAUUUAACAGCUGCUGUGUAGCAUCCGAGGUAGCACCGUAGCAACAGUUGAAGCAGAUUCCAUUUAGUUCGGUCUAGAAUUUCGUUUGAUUUCAGCAAACACCCUGGAUGAAUUUCUACCCAUAGUCCGGAAUCAGCAGGGUUCCCUCAACGGUUGCACAGAGUGUAAUACUCAACGAAAGACGUAUUCAUGGCAGACGUAUGGCCAUUUUUUUUAAUAUUAAAAACGGAAGCCACAAUAAGCAGUGACGGCGAUAAAACUAGUUAUUAAACGAUCAAUAAAAUGAUAAAUUAUCCCAAUAUCUUUUAGAACAUGAUUUAUUUGAUUGAUUACUCCCAAAUUUACAA